Molecule: ribosomal RNA, 253 nt
Filed under: uncultured bacterium
Lineage: Bacteria
Description: partial 16S ribosomal RNA
Rfam family: Bacterial small subunit ribosomal RNA
Source: RNAcentral
UACGUAGGGCGCAAGCGUUGUCCGGAAUUAUUGGGCGUAAAGAGCUCGUAGGCGGUCUGUUACGUCCGCUGUGAAAACCCAGGGCUUAACCCUGGGCUUGCAGUGGAUACGGGCAGACUAGAGGCAGGUAGGGGAGAAUGGAAUUCCCGGUGUAGCGGUGAAAUGCGCAGAUAUCGGGAGGAACACCGGUGGCGAAAGCGGCGCACUGGACCACAACUGACGCUGAGGCGCGAAAGCUAGGGGAGCAAACAGG